CUGCUGCAUUUCUUGAAACUUCUUUCCAUCUCAUCCUCGUAGCUUGGUCGGCAUUGAGGAGAGAUAUGAUUUGAGGUAGAGUCUCUUCUAGAGAUCGGAGUGGGAGACUGCCUAUGGUGAUGAUUAGGUGGGCUGAUAGGUUGGCUUUAAUGGCUAGCCCCUGCUCUUGAGCUACGGGGGUGCCGAUCAACCGAUCUCCCUCUAGCUGGCUAUAAAUUUUUCAUGAUGAAAGGUAACUCAAUAUUUUGUUGUAUCCCUCUCACUGUGGCUGAAAGUCCCUACACCUACUGAAUGAGGCUGUUAUACUGAUUGUGGGAGAUUGCAGGUGCCACUAGAGGGGGAUUCUCC
RNAcentral lists this long non-coding RNA (348 nucleotides) under Elaeis guineensis (African oil palm). RNAcentral describes it as "long non-coding RNA (EGUI_LNC032019)". Lineage: Eukaryota; Viridiplantae; Streptophyta; Magnoliopsida; Arecales; Arecaceae. The record is from RNAcentral.